AGAGGAUGGGGAGCAACCUAGUUGUGCGUGUGUAAAGGUAGUGCCAAGAAAAGCGAUGAUCAUGUUGAAAAUCAAUUCCCGGUACCCGAAACCGACACAGGUGGGCAAGUAGAGAAUACUAAGGGGCGCGAGGUAACUCUCUCCAAGGAACUCGGCAAAAUGACCCCGUAACUUAGGGAGAAGGGGUGCCACCGAGAGGUGGUCGCAGUGAAGAGGCCCAGGCGACUGUUUAGCAAAAACAUAGGUCUCUGCAAACUCGAAAGAGGAGGUAUAGGGGCUGACGCCUGCCCAGUGCCGGAAGGUUAAAGAAGUUGGUGAGUUUUAGGAUGAAGCUAGCGACUGAAGCCCCGGUGAACGGCGGCCGUAACUAUAACGGUCCUAAGGUAGCGAAAUUCCUUGUCGGGUAAGUUCCGACCCGCACGAAAGGCGUAACGAUCUGGGCGCUGUCUCGGAGAGAGGCUCGGCGAAAUAGGAUUGUCUGUGAAGAUACGGACUACCUGCAUUUGGACAGAAAGACCCUAUGAAGCUUUACUAUAGCUUGGAAUUGUGUUCGGGCUUCCUGUGCGCAGGAUAGGUGGGAGGCGUAGAAGGUAUUCUUGUGGGGAUACUGGAGCCAACGGUGAGAUACCUCUCUCAGGAGGCUAGAAUUCUAACUUAAUUAAGGACAGUUUCAGGUGGGUAGUUUGACUGGGGCGGUCGCCUCCAAAAAGGUAACGGAGGCGUACAAAGGUUCCCUCAGACUGGUUGGAAAUCAGUCGAAGAGUGCAAGGGCAGAAGGGAGCUUGACUGCGAGAAGUACAGUUCGAGCAGGGUGGAAACACGGUCUUAGUGAUCCGACGGUGCUGUGUGGAAGGGCCGUCGCUCAACGGAUAAAAGUUACUCUAGGAUAACAGGCUGAUCUCCCCCAAGAGUUCACAUCGACGGGGAGGUUUGGCACCUCGAUGUCGGCUCAUCGCAACCUGGGGCGGAAGUACGUCCCAAGGGUUGGGCUGUUCGCCCAUUAAAGCGGUACGUGAGCUGGGUUCAGAACGUCGUGAGACAGUUCGGUCCAUAUCCGAUGUAGGCGUGAGAAUAUUGAGAGGAGCCUUCCUUAGUACGAGAGGACCGGGAAGGACGCACCGCUGGUGUACCUGUUAUGAUGCCAAUUGUAAACGCAGGGUAGCCAAGUGCGGAGAGGAUAACCGCUGAAAGCAUCUAAGUGGGAAGCCCACCUCAAGAUGAGUAUUCUGGUGUAAGGUCACGGGAAGACGACCCGUAAAUAGGCACGAGGUGGAAGUGCAGAGAUGUAUGAAGCCGAAGUGUACUAAUAGACCGUCGGCUUGACCAU
Molecule: ribosomal RNA, 1327 nt
Filed under: metagenome
Description: bacterial LSU rRNA
Rfam family: Bacterial large subunit ribosomal RNA
Source: RNAcentral